GGGAUAACUUUUUGUAAGUCGCUCUGGAUAAGAGCGUCUGCUAAAUGACUUAAA
Non-coding RNA from Salmo salar (Atlantic salmon), 54 nucleotides. The record is from Rfam. Lineage: Eukaryota; Metazoa; Chordata; Actinopteri; Salmoniformes; Salmonidae.